Molecule: ribosomal RNA, 472 nt
Filed under: uncultured bacterium
Lineage: Bacteria
Description: bacterial SSU rRNA
Rfam family: Bacterial small subunit ribosomal RNA
Source: RNAcentral
UCGGGAAUUUUGGGCAAUGGGCGCAAGCCUGAUCCAGCCAUGCCGCGUGAGUGAAGAAGGCCUUCGGGUUGUAAAGCUCUUUCGGCGGGGACGAAAUGGUUCGUGCCAAUACCACGGACUGAUGACGGUACCUGAAGAAGAAGCACCGGCUAACUACGUGCCAGCAGCCGCGGUAAUACGUAGGGUGCAGGCGUUAAUCGGAAUUACUGGGCGUAAAGCGUGCGCAGGCGGUUUGUUAAGACAGAUGUGAAAUCCCUCGGCUUAACCGGGGAACUGCGUCUGAUACUGGAUGGCUUGAGGUUGGGAGAGGGAUGCGGAAUUCCAGGUGUAGCGGUGAAAUGCGUAGAUAUCUGGAGGAACACCGGUGGCGAAGGCGACAUCCUGGACCAAUUCUGACGCUGAGGAGCGAAAGCCAGGGGAGCAAACGGGAUUAGAUACCCCCGUAGUCCCUGAGCGGGCUGGCAAGGCGCAU